ACUAUAGAUUUUUAAUCUAUGGAAGUUUGAAGGAAUAACCGGGCUGUGAUGCCCUUAAAAGGUCUGGGCCCCACGCCCGCUACCCUGAUGAAAGCAACGAAUUUCAUCCUUGAUCGGAAGGGCCGGGUAAUCUUUUGAAACUUCAUCGUGCUGGGGAUAGUCCCUUGGAAUUUUUGGACUUUAACGAAGAAUUCCUAAUAAGCGUGAGUCAUCAACUCCCGUUGAUUACCUCCCUGCCCUUUGGACACACCGCCCGUCGCUACCA
RNAcentral lists this ribosomal RNA (265 nucleotides) under uncultured Cyllamyces. RNAcentral's name for it is "partial 18S ribosomal RNA". It matches the Rfam family "Eukaryotic small subunit ribosomal RNA", at positions 1419 to 1684 of the family's 1831-position model. The record is from RNAcentral. Lineage: Eukaryota; Fungi; Neocallimastigomycota; Neocallimastigomycetes; Neocallimastigales; Neocallimastigaceae.